This is a long non-coding RNA of Xenia sp. Carnegie-2017, 1164 nucleotides long. RefSeq lists it as uncharacterized. The transcript has 5 exons. The record is from RefSeq and is a predicted model, not a curated record. NCBI's taxonomy places the organism in Eukaryota, Metazoa, Cnidaria, Anthozoa, Malacalcyonacea, Xeniidae.
CAAAGUUCGUAUGUAUUAAAAUGCAGCAAUGUGUAUAGUUCGUUAUUGAGGAUAACGUGAAGAUUAUUUUAAUUAGGGAAGGAUAUUUCUACGUUAUAGUUAAUUGUAACUGUUUAAUUUCAACUUAUGUUUACAUUAAAAGACAUCCUUAAGCCAACUUUACUAAUAUUGAUCGCUAUUUUCGUGUUAUACAUCUAUAAUCAUCUUGUUAAAGAUUUGAAGCUUUGCUGCGAUAAUACAGCAGAGAAUUAUUUUCAUUAUGAUUUGGUCAUUGGAAUACUUUCGUCGCGCGGCAACUUUGAUUUGAGGCAAAGUUUACGUGGAUCAUGGGUUGGCUAUGCAAGACGACAUUCAUCGCUCAAUAAAAGGCUAAACUCGAAUAUUCACAAGAAAUAACGGUUACGGUACACUUGCCGAAGAUAUCACCAUCUUACAGGUUUGUGAAAGCUCUUCAAUAAAUAAUAGAAAAAUGCGUGUUGGUAUCUUGGGAGUUGGGAGUACGUAGAGGUAUCUUGGGAUUUUAGAGUAUAUCAAUCUGGUGGUUUAAGGGUGGUUUUAAAAGUGGAUUAGAGGUGGUUUUAGAGGAGGGUUAAGGGUAGUUUAAGGGUGGUUUAACCGUAGUCUAGGGUAGCGAAGCGUAGCUUGAAGCCUUGGACCAACUUUAAACCACGCUAAAGGUACACUCAAAUCACCCUUAAAACACCCUUACGCUACACUUAAACCACGCUGUGGAGAUGAUUUUUACACCAUUCCAGACCUCUCAUUGAGAGCUUUGGAAUGAGCCUCGUCCCGAGUGUCUACAAUUGCGCAUGCUCAGUAAAGAGUCGAUUUUAAUAUUAAUUACCUCCGGAAGUAUACAAGCUGUACAGAUGAUUUUCAACUCAAUCUAAAGAUUUUACUCAAUCAACCAUUGGAAAUGGAAAGUCAUAAUUUAAAAAACACGUCCAAAUUGUGGUGGGGAAGGACUGCUGUAAUUGGAGAAAGUUCCUAGCCAAUUGGUAGUCAUCUAUGUUACUUUCUGGUGAAUAUGUUGGGAGAUUGGUGUCAUACUUUAUGGACAUAGUAACGUUUUUUUACAAAACAUUGAAAUUUCUGGUGCAAUCUUAUUAUCAUGUUUGGAUCAAUUGUUUCCUUUGGACAAUUAAUGAGUCGUGACAUUCUACA